This 566-nucleotide long non-coding RNA is filed under the name Homo sapiens (human). RNAcentral describes it as "HSALNT0328820". The record is from RNAcentral. Lineage: Eukaryota; Metazoa; Chordata; Mammalia; Primates; Hominidae.
GCCAACUGGGGACUGAAAAAAUUCAGAGAGAGAGAACCAUGAAAGUCAAGGGCAUUGUAAGGAUGAAUUUAGAACCUCCAAUGACAGCAGGCCCUCAUUUGGAUGCUUGGAUUCUAAAAUGUUUGCUAAAAGUUGUCCCAGCACUAGAAGACAUUCUAAGCCCAAGCUUAUUCCAAGUCUUGCAAGGACAUUGAAGUUGAUGCAGCUUUCUGGCCCAGAUGGACCUGGGGAAGAACCAAGUAGGAUACUGAGUCUGUGUGGGGAUGCUGGCCAGGGUCCUGAGUCCAGAAGACUGUCCCGCUGGCUCAAAUUGGUGUGCCUUCCAGCAGAUCUUUAAGUCCUUGCACAAAUGGAAAGUUUUCCAACUGCAGCAGGAGAGGCUACAGAAUAGACUGGGCUCCCAUGGGAUCUACUGUGGGACAGAGGCUGAAGAAGCUGGUCUUGGCUCAGAGGAAUGUGUGUAACCCAACAAGUUUCUGCACAGGAGGUGGUAGAAAAAGAAUACAGCACAUCAUCAGGAAUUAGUUUAAACUGGGACGUGGAUGAAGCUGGAAACUAUCAUUCGC